AUCGAACGCUGGCGGCAGGCUUAACACAUGCAAGUCGAGCGAGUGGCGGACGGGUGAGUAAUGUCUGGGAAACUGCCCGAUGGAGGGGGAUAACUACUGGAAACGGUAGCUAAUCCCGCAUACCAUCAGAUGUGCCCAGAUGGGAUUAGCUAGUAGGUGGGGUAAUGGCUCACCUAGGCGACGCUCCCUAGCUGGUCUGAGAGGAUGACCAGCCACACUGGAACUGAGACACGGUCCAGACUCCUACGGGAGGCAGCAGUGGGGAAUAUUGCACAAUGGGCGAAAGCCUGAUGCAGCCAUGCCGCGUGUAUGAAGAAGGCCUUCGGGUUGUAAAGUACUUUCAGCGGGGAGGCGUUACUCGCAGAAGAAGCACCGGCUAACUCCGUGCCAGCAGCCGCGGUAAUAC
RNAcentral lists this ribosomal RNA (406 nucleotides) under uncultured bacterium. Its description in RNAcentral is "partial 16S ribosomal RNA". It matches the Rfam family "Bacterial small subunit ribosomal RNA", at positions 30 to 526 of the family's 1533-position model. The record is from RNAcentral.